RNAcentral lists this ribosomal RNA (497 nucleotides) under uncultured bacterium. RNAcentral describes it as "partial 16S ribosomal RNA". It matches the Rfam family "Bacterial small subunit ribosomal RNA", at positions 28 to 507 of the family's 1533-position model. The record is from RNAcentral.
GAUGAACGCUGGCGGCGUGCCUAAUACAUGCAAGUCGAGCGAACAGACGAGGAGCUUGCUCCUCUGACGUUAGCGGCGGACGGGUGAGUAACACGUGGAUAACCUACCUAUAAGACUGGGAUAACUUCGGGAAACCGGAGCUAAUACCGGAUAAUAUAUUGAACCGCAUGGUUCAAUAGUGAAAGACGGUUUUGCUGUCACUUAUAGAUGGAUCCGCGCCGCAUUAGCUAGUUGGUAAGGUAACGGCUUACCAAGGCAACGAUGCGUAGCCGACCUGAGAGGGUGAUCCGCCACACUGGAACUGAGACACGGUCCAGACUCCUACGGGAGGCAGCAGUAGGGAAUCUUCCGCAAUGGGCGAAAGCCUGACGGAGCAACGCCGCGUGAGUGAUGAAGGUCUUCGGAUCGGAAAACUCUGUUAUUAGGGAAGAACAAAUGUGUAAGUAACUACGCUCGUCUUGACGGUACCUAAUCAGAAAGCCACGGCUAACUACGUG